This 128-nucleotide non-coding RNA is filed under the name Micrococcales bacterium. RNAcentral's name for it is "FMN sequence". It matches the Rfam family "FMN riboswitch aptamer (RFN element)". From Rfam's summary of the family: The RFN element is a highly conserved domain that is found frequently in the 5'-untranslated regions of prokaryotic mRNAs that encode for flavin mononucleotide (FMN) biosynthesis and transport proteins. The record is from RNAcentral. Lineage: Bacteria; Bacillati; Actinomycetota; Actinomycetes; Micrococcales.
AUGUGCUCCGGGGGCGGUGGAAUUCCGCACCGGCGGUGAGAGUCCGCGAACCCCGUCCCGUAAGAGGCGGGGCCGAUCCGGUGGAAUUCCGGAACCGACGGUCAGAGUCCGGAUGAGAGGAAGCACAC